UGUGUCGUGGUUUAGUUGGUUAUCACAUUUGUCUAUAACACAUUGAUGGUCUCUAGUUCAAAUUUAGGUGACACUA
RNAcentral lists this transfer RNA (76 nucleotides) under Zingiber officinale. RNAcentral's name for it is "tRNA-Tyr". The record is from RNAcentral. Lineage: Eukaryota; Viridiplantae; Streptophyta; Magnoliopsida; Zingiberales; Zingiberaceae.